This 1081-nucleotide long non-coding RNA is filed under the name Gallus gallus (chicken). RNAcentral's name for it is "long non-coding RNA NONGGAT011674". Lineage: Eukaryota; Metazoa; Chordata; Aves; Galliformes; Phasianidae. The record is from RNAcentral.
GAACUGGUGAGAUCUAGGUUUGGCAUAACAAGGUUAAAAAAUCAAAGAUACUCUCCGCAGAUAUGAAAUGUUAUAAAUUCAUUGCACUCAUAGGAAAAGAUCAUACAUUUUUCAAGUGAUAAGUUUAGUCCAGCAGAAUUUUGCCAUGUGGAACAUUGCUCAUCUGUACAAUGCCAUGGUUGAAACUUCUAGACUCUCACACUUUUAUAUUGUGCACUUACACUGGCACUUCCAUGUUCAUUGCAGACAUUUCAUGGCCUGCCAUCAAAGUUACCUCAGUCUCUUAAGCAGGUUCUUUUUGCCUUCAGGGCAAAAUAUCUUUCUUGCCCUGGAACGACUCACAGGAUUGCAUCAUCCUGCACAGGGAUUAUGUCAAAAGGUCAUGGUGGUCACCAGCUGGAUGAUUCUCGCCUUCUCCUUCCCUAACACUUAUGCAUCUUUCAUGACCAAUUGUGGAUUCAUUACCAAGUCCAGGCCAGAUCUUACCCUUCUUUCCCAAUCAGAGGAAUACAUGCAACAAAAGUCCCAAUGUGCUCUCACCACAGACACAUAUUUUGCUUUUCCAUUAUGCCAACCAUACCACGAGUCUUUAUUUCCUAGGAAACAUUAAAACUUCUUCCUCUGUUUCUCUUUCCCUUGCAAGUGAAGAUCUGGGCCAACAUAGAUCUGUCCGUCCCACCAAACAGACUCUGUGGUAUAGAAGAGAGGAGAGUUUUGUCUCCCAGGGAUUGUUAUGCGAACCAUUCUCUGUUUGGACAGGUGGCAACGGGGAGUGAAGACGCUCAAGAAGCAGACAUUUUCUUUAUUACUGUAUUUAUUCCUGAAUCCUGCAUACAUUUUGCACUGAUCCCCUGCAUGUUGUAAGUCCCGUUUGUAUAUGAAGAAGCCUGCAAGAUGAAAUGACAUUCACAGUAAUUGUAUCUGGAAAAUCUGUUCUUCAGAGAUUGCAGAGAGAUGGUAGGUAGUUGCAAUCAGGUGCCCACAGGUGAAGAUGACAGUCUCUGAUACUGACUUCCUCCUUUAAUGUGUUUUGUGCUUUGUGAGAUUUGUCUGCAGCACUGUAUUUGCACUCCAUCUGCUU